GCGCGUCUAGUUAGCAAUUAUACCGUGAAACUGCGAAUGGCUCAUUAAAUCAGUUAUCGUUUAUUUGAUAGUACCUUACUACUUGGAUAACCGUGGUAAUUCUAGAGCUAAUACAUGCUGAAAACCCCAACUUCGGGAGGGGUGUAUUUAUUAGAUAAAAAACCAACGCCCUUCGGGGCUUCUUGGUGAUUCAUGAUAACUUCACGGAUCGCAUGGCCUUGCGCCGGCGACGGUUCAUUCAAAUUUCUGCCCUAUCAACUUUCGAUGGUAAGGUAUUGGCUUACCAUGGUUUCAACGGGUAACGGGGAAUUAGGGUUCGAUUCCGGAGAGGGAGCCUGAGAAACGGCUACCACAUCCAAGGAAGGCAGCAGGCGCGCAAAUUACCCAAUCCCGACACGGGGAGGUAGUGACAAUAAAUACUGAUACAGGGCUCUUUUGGGUCUUGUAAUUGGAAUGAGUACAAUUUAAACCUCUUAACGAGGAACAAUUGGAGGGCAAGUCUGGUGCCAGCAGCCGCGGUAAUUCCAGCUCCAAUAGCGUAUAUUAAAGUUGUUGCAGUUAAAAAGCUCGUAGUUGAAACUUGGGCCUGGCUGGCAGGUCCGCCUCACCGCGUGUACUUGUCCGGCCGGGCCUUUCCUUCUGGAGAACCUCAUGCCCUUCACUGGGUGUGUUGGGGAACCAGGACUUUUACUUUGAAAAAAUUAGAGUGUUCAAAGCAGGCCUUUGCUCGAAUACGUUAGCAUGGAAUAAUAGAAUAGGACGUGCGGUCCUAUUUUGUUGGUUUCUAGGACCGCCGUAAUGAUUAAUAGGGACAGUCGGGGGCAUCAGUAUUCAAUUGUCAGAGGUGAAAUUCUUGGAUUUAUUGAAGACUAACUACUGCGAAAGCAUUUGCCAAGGAUGUUUUCAUUAAUCAGUGAACGAAAGUAAGGGGAUCGAAGACGAUCAAAUACCGUCGUAGUCUUAACCGAAACUAUGCCGACAGGGGAUCGGGCGAUGUCCUUUUCUGAUCCGUCGGACCU
RNAcentral lists this ribosomal RNA (1019 nucleotides) under Colletotrichum truncatum. Its description in RNAcentral is "SSU rRNA". It matches the Rfam family "Eukaryotic small subunit ribosomal RNA", at positions 53 to 1086 of the family's 1831-position model. Lineage: Eukaryota; Fungi; Ascomycota; Sordariomycetes; Glomerellales; Glomerellaceae. The record is from RNAcentral.